RNAcentral lists this long non-coding RNA (1307 nucleotides) under Oryctolagus cuniculus (rabbit). Its description in RNAcentral is "lncRNA (ENSOCUG00000030936.1)". Lineage: Eukaryota; Metazoa; Chordata; Mammalia; Lagomorpha; Leporidae. The record is from RNAcentral.
CACAGUGGCUUUACCAGCUUACAUUCCCACCAACAGUGGGUUCGGGUGCCCUUUUCCCCACAUCCUCUCCAACAUUUGUUGUUUGUUGAUUUCUGAAUGAGGACCACUCUAACUGGGGUAAGGUGAAACCUCAUUCUGGUUUUGAUUCACACAAGAUCAUUGCAUAAUUCCAAUUAUAGGAAUGCAGAAUUCAGCUUCCUUGUGGAAUUACGGUACUUCUAGGGGUCUCUCUUCUUCCUUUCCAUGUUAUUGUAACUGCAAACUGUAUUCUCAGGCAAGGCAUUGGUAGUUCACAUAGUGAGACUAUUUGAAUACUUAGAUUUAAAAUAAAAUAAUCAUCUUCUUUAUUUCACAUUUUGUUUUUAAAAAUUAUAUUAGUAAUUUCUUAUUUAAUUUUGCAGCAAGGAAUUUAGAAUAAUUAUUAUUAGCUUCUUUGCUCAAUGCUUCCUAUUGUUAUACCAUUAGGUAAUAUUCACCUCCCUCUUUUUUUAUGCCCUAUUAAAAUUUCAGCUGGUAACUUAUCUUGUCCAAAGAUAAGGAAAUCUUAGAACAGUGUACUGUAACAGCAAUUGAUCAAUUUUAUUUCUUCUUGUAAUUCAGUUUUUAGACAUCAUGGUUUUUAAAAAAUUGAAUCACUAGUUUCAUGACAUUUACAAAAAGGAAGACAACUAUUAUAGAUACACACAUAGAAUGACCCACCAGAUAAUAGUAGAUAAACACAGAUAGAUUCAAUGAGGCAGUAUUUUUAAAUCAUUUAUAAAAGGUUAUUGCUCUAUCAUGUUAGAAUUGUUGGCAGCCACUUAUUCAGGUUCCAUUUCUAGUUUUUGUUAGAGAAUUCACUAACCUCUUGCAAUGAAGAUGGUAAUACAACCAUUCAUCCUGCAAAAGUAGCUAAAUCAUUGAGAUAUUUAGUUAUCAUUAUUUAUGAAGGGAAGGAAUAAAAACAGAUUUUUCCCUUCUAGGUUCAGAAACCAGCAAAUUAUAAAAAGUAAGCAAUGCUUAUAGUUAUAAAAAUGAAAGUACACGCUCUUGCUAAAUCUUUUUAUAGCACUAUAGUACAACCAGACACUGUGGUCUUCUACUUGGAUUCUUUAGGUAUUGUAAAGCCCAUUAGAGUCAAAGAAUCCUAGCUCAUCUUUCAAAAAUUGCCUGUGACUAUUUCAGCACCACACAUUAGAAGUAUGAUAGAUGAGUGAGUCGGAAUAGCAAAGGACAGCUAUUUUAACUAAUUGUGUUAAAUUAAAUUAUUUGGGUAAAUUUCACAAACACAAACCACCUUCUAAAUAAAUUGAAAGAGCCUUUCCUCA